UAGGGUUUCGGCGGCCCUGCCCCACUGCCUGGGGUGCCUGCCUAAGUCACUCAUAACCAAAGCGCGUGGCUGCCGGGCCCCGCCCUCGGUGCAUUGUUUCUCCCAGCGGCCCUGUCCAUACAUGCCUCACUUUUCUUUACAGACGAGGAGACCGGGGCACCGAGUGGCCUGGCAAGAGCUGUGAAGCCUCGGGAGUUGGAGCUAGAGCCGGAGUGCUCUCCAGAGAGGUGUGGCUGAGGUCCCCAGCUCUUUGGCCCACCCGCUCCCCUCCACUCAGCCUGCCUGCGGCCUCCGCAGGUGCAGAAACUCUCUGCGGCCACCAGGUGGAGCUGCAGCACCAUGGACGCUCAGAUCUGGCCUCUCCAGUGUCUCUGGGAAGACUCCGGAAGUUACUCCCGAGCCCACCAGCUCCAGGGGACCUCCUGCCCUAAUACCAAGCUUCCAAGCCGCCCAGCGCCCCUCACCCCAAUCUGGGGAGGACCCUCCACUCCCCAGGACGGGAUCCAGGCCUCCUCUGACCUCACACACAUCACACACAGAUGCACGCAGCUGCACCUCAUCCUGGACCGCGCGGCCCGCACCUGCACCCCGCCUACACGCGCCCUGGGGGAGCUCAGUACGCCCUGUGCUGCAUUCCGGAGUUGGCCCCUCUGCUGGCCGCACCACGCGAACAUGUCUGGGGGUUCUCAGCUUCCUCGCCCCACCCGAAGGGCACCCCCGCCCGCUGUCCCCAGGCUGUCCAAGCCUGCACCGGCACCGACCCUGUGUUCCUCCUUUCACCCCGCCUCCUGAGGGUGCCCCGAACCCAGGUUCCUCCUCACCCCCUCUCCAGGCCGGC
Molecule: long non-coding RNA, 838 nt
Filed under: Fukomys damarensis (Damara mole-rat)
Lineage: Eukaryota; Metazoa; Chordata; Mammalia; Rodentia; Bathyergidae
Description: lncRNA (ENSFDAG00000031118.1)
Source: RNAcentral